RNAcentral lists this non-coding RNA (45 nucleotides) under Schistosoma margrebowiei. The record is from RNAcentral. Lineage: Eukaryota; Metazoa; Platyhelminthes; Trematoda; Strigeidida; Schistosomatidae.
AUCCAGCUGACGUGUCCCAAAUAGGACAAAACAUGCAUCCUGGAU